RNAcentral lists this transfer RNA (73 nucleotides) under Cricetulus griseus (Chinese hamster). It matches the Rfam family "tRNA". From Rfam's summary of the family: Transfer RNA (tRNA) molecules are approximately 80 nucleotides in length. Their secondary structure includes four short double-helical elements and three loops (D, anti-codon, and T loops). The record is from Rfam by way of RNAcentral. Lineage: Eukaryota; Metazoa; Chordata; Mammalia; Rodentia; Cricetidae.
GCCUGGCUAGUUCAGUUGGUAGAGCAUGAGACUCUUAAUCCCAGGGUCGUGGGUUCAUGCCUCAUGUUGAGCG